Stegodyphus dumicola is the source of this 402-nucleotide long non-coding RNA. The record is from RefSeq and is a predicted model, not a curated record. Lineage: Eukaryota; Metazoa; Arthropoda; Arachnida; Araneae; Eresidae.
CUAAACAGAAGCCAGAAGAGCUUAAAAAAGAAAAUGAAGUUGAAUUAGCAUAAGUAUUCACAGUUGAGCAAUAGUAUAUGCACAGCGAUAUGGAUGAAUAAAGUCAAUUUAAAUUUGCUAAUACAACAGUUUCUAGCAAGACGGAAAUUUCGUUGUGGAAGCAUUGUUUUCUGCCGUAGAAGAAGGUAACAUUGCUGGAUUGGAAGAACUUUUCACCAUAUCUCGCAUUGACCCGAAUUUCUGUAAUAAGCACGGAGAAACUGCAGUCCAUAUAGCCUCUGGUCUGGGACACCUGAACGUUGUGAAAUUCUUACAUUCCAAACGAGCUAAUAUUCAUGCUCUUGACAGCCAUGGAGAUAGUGCUAUCUACUGGGCUGCGAGACAAGGCCCGAUCAUAUUAGC